UCCGUUGGUGAACCAGCGGAGGGAUCAUUACCGAGUUUACAACUCCCAAACCCCAAUGUGAACGUUACCAAUCUGUUGCCUCGGCGGGAUUCUCUUGCCCCGGGCGCGUCGCAGCCCCGGAUCCCAUGGCGCCCGCCGGAGGACCAACUCCAAACUCUUUUUUUCUCUCCGUCGCGGCUCCCGUCGCGGCUCUGUUUUAUUUUUGCUCUGAGCCUUUCUCGGCGACCCUAGCGGGCGUCUCGAAAAUGAAUCAAAACUUUCAACAACGGAUCUCUUGGUUCUGGCAUCGAUGAAGAACGCAGCGAAAUGCGAUAAGUAAUGUGAAUUGCAGAAUUCAGUGAAUCAUCGAAUCUUUGAACGCACAUUGCGCCCGCCAGUAUUCUGGCGGGCAUGCCUGUCCGAGCGUCAUUUCAACCCUCGAACCCCUCCGGGGGGUCGGCGUUGGGGAUCGGCCCCUCACCGGGCCGCCCCCGAAAUACAGUGGCGGUCUCGCCGCAGCCUCUCCUGCGCAGUAGUUUGCACACUCGCACCGGGAGCGCGGCGCGGCCACAGCCGUAAAACACCCCAAACUUCUGAAAUGUUGACCUCGGAUCAGGUAGGAAUACCCGCUGAACUUAAGCAUAUCAAUAAGCGGAGGA
This 638-nucleotide ribosomal RNA is filed under the name Trichoderma cf. longibrachiatum C294. Its description in RNAcentral is "eukaryotic LSU rRNA". The stretch from base 255 to 408 matches the Rfam family "5.8S ribosomal RNA". Lineage: Eukaryota; Fungi; Ascomycota; Sordariomycetes; Hypocreales; Hypocreaceae. The record is from RNAcentral.